GAAGGCCUUCGGGUUGUAAACUGCUUUUGUACGGAACGAAAAAGCUCCUUCUAAUACAGGGGGCCCAUGACGGUACCGUAAGAAUAAGCACCGGCUAACUACGUGCCAGCAGCCGCGGUAAUACGUAGGGUGCGAGCGUUAAUCGGAAUUACUGGGCGUAAAGCGUGCGCAGGCGGUUAUGUAAGACAGAUGUGAAAUCCCCGGGCUCAACCUGGGAACUGCAUUUGUGACUGCAUGGCUAGAGUACGGUAGAGGGGGAUGGAAUUCCGCGUGUAGCAGUGAAAUGCGUAGAUAUGCGGAGGAACACCCAUGGCGAAGGCAAUCCCCUGGACCUGUACUGACGCUCAUGCACGAAAGCGUGGGGAGCAAACAGGAUUAGAUACCCUGGUAGUCCACGCCCUAAACGAUGUCAACUGGUUGUUGGGAAUUAUUUUUCUCA
Molecule: ribosomal RNA, 439 nt
Filed under: uncultured Delftia sp.
Lineage: Bacteria; Pseudomonadati; Pseudomonadota; Betaproteobacteria; Burkholderiales; Comamonadaceae
Description: bacterial SSU rRNA
Rfam family: Bacterial small subunit ribosomal RNA
Source: RNAcentral